Molecule: ribosomal RNA, 450 nt
Filed under: uncultured Pelagibacterales bacterium
Lineage: Bacteria; Pseudomonadati; Pseudomonadota; Alphaproteobacteria; Candidatus Pelagibacterales
Description: bacterial SSU rRNA
Rfam family: Bacterial small subunit ribosomal RNA
Source: RNAcentral
GUGAGAUGUGGGUAGUCCGCACGAGCGCAACCUCACUUUUAGUUGCCAUCAUUAAGUUGGGCACUCUGAAAGAACUGCCAGUGAUAAGCUGGAGGAAGGUGGGGAUGACGUCAAGUCCUCAUGGCCCUUACGUGUUGGGCUACACACGUGCUACAAUGGCAUCUACAACAGGAAGCAAAACGGCAACGUUAAGCAAAUCCCGAAAAGAUGCCUCAGUUCGGAUUGCACUCUGCAACUCGAGUGCAUGAAGCUGGAAUUACUAGUAAUCGUGGAUCAGCGUGCCACGGUGAAUGCGUUCCCGGGUCUUGUACACACCGCCCGUCACACCAUGGGAGUUGGUUCUACCUUAAGGCAAGGUUUUAAACCCUUGACCACGGUAUAGUCAGCGACUGGGGUGAAGUCGUAACAAGGUAGCCGUAGGGGAACCUGCGGCUGGAUUACCUCCUUUCU